CUGCUGAAGUGACUUCACAGAUAAGUAAGCAGAGAAUCAAUUUAGUCUUAGACCCUCUAUGAAUAAGGGGAAAUAAAGUUAAAGGAAAUGAAGCAAAUAAAGCAAGAAAAAAUACUGAUGACCAGAAAAGAGCAAUAUGUUUGCACCAGAAUAUAAGACGCAUCUCUCAACAUGUAUGGUCAUUUAAAUAAAAUCAUAUCAAGUAAUUUUGUUAAUUUUCUCUGACCAGAAUGAUGGAUGAAAAUAAAUUACAAGAGGAUAUCUUGCAAUAAGAAGACAAUAUAUAUUACAUAAUAUGA
Long non-coding RNA from Felis catus (domestic cat), 299 nucleotides. RefSeq lists it as uncharacterized. The transcript has 2 exons. The record is from RefSeq and is a predicted model, not a curated record. NCBI's taxonomy places the organism in Eukaryota, Metazoa, Chordata, Mammalia, Carnivora, Felidae.